This 253-nucleotide ribosomal RNA is filed under the name uncultured bacterium. RNAcentral describes it as "partial 16S ribosomal RNA". It matches the Rfam family "Bacterial small subunit ribosomal RNA", at positions 524 to 776 of the family's 1533-position model. The record is from RNAcentral.
UACGUAGGGUGCGAGCGUUAAUCGGAAUUACUGGGCGUAAAGCGUGCGCAGGCGGUUUUGUAAGCCAGAUGUGAAAUCCCCGGGCUUAACCUGGGAAUGGCAUUUGGGACUGCAAGGCUGGAGUGUGGCAGAGGAGACUGGAAUUCCCGGUGUAGCAGUGAAAUGCGUAGAUAUCGGGAGGAACACCAGUGGCGAAGGCGGUUGCCUGGGGCUUUGCUGACGCUGAGGCGCGAAAGCGUGGGGAGCGAUCCGG